GAUGAACGCUGGCGGCGUGCCUAAUACAUGCAAGUCGAGCGAACUGAUUAGAAGCUUGCUUCUAUGACGUUAGCGGCGGACGGGUGAGUAACACGUGGGCAACCUGCCUGUAAGACUGGGAUAACUCCGGGAAACCGGAGCUAAUACCGGAUAACAUUUUCUCUUGCAUAAGAGAAAAUUGAAAGAUGGUUUCGGCUAUCACUUACAGAUGGGCCCGCGGUGCAUUAGCUAGUUGGUGAGGUAACGGCUCACCAAGGCAACGAUGCAUAGCCGACCUGAGAGGGUGAUCGGCCACACUGGGACUGAGACACGGCCCAGACUCCUACGGGAGGCAGCAGUAGGGAAUCUUCCGCAAUGGACGAAAGUCUGACGGAGCAACGCCGCGUGAGUGAUGAAGGCUUUCGGGUCGUAAAACUCUGUUGUUAGGGAAGAACAAGUACAAGAGUAACUGCUUGUACCUUGACGGUACCUAACCAGAAAGCCACGGCUAACUACGUGCCAGCAGCCGCCGUAA
RNAcentral lists this ribosomal RNA (514 nucleotides) under uncultured bacterium. Its description in RNAcentral is "partial 16S ribosomal RNA". It matches the Rfam family "Bacterial small subunit ribosomal RNA", at positions 28 to 523 of the family's 1533-position model. The record is from RNAcentral.